GGCAGCAUAUUGUAGUGGUUUGAGCAUUGGACUAAGACCCUGAAGACCAGGGUUCGAUUCCCUACUCAGCCA
This is a non-coding RNA of Phrynosoma platyrhinos (Desert horned lizard), 72 nucleotides long. The record is from the annotation of a GenBank genome assembly. Lineage: Eukaryota; Metazoa; Chordata; Lepidosauria; Squamata; Phrynosomatidae.